AAAGCAGAGCACAUUCAGUUUAAUGAGCAGAAAUUGAAUUCAAGUUUGUUCAGAAUUGACUUCAAUUAAGCACAGCCUUAAUGAUAAAUUAAUCUAUUUUCUUUAUUCCUAUGUAUUUGUUUUUCAAAGGCUGCAAAUGAACAGGGCCAAUGAAGAAUUCUAUUUGGAAAUAGAUUGGUGGUCUGACGGAAGAACUGCAUCUUUUAUGUUUAAUGCAUUUAGAUGCAAUAAUAUGCUGAGCAAGCAGAAAUAAAUACCUAUUUGUUUUUAUAAGAUUUUGUUUUGAGAUGCUCCUCAAUAAAAAAAAAAAAUCUAACACUGCUUUUGAUGGCUGCUACCCUGUAAGCCCCAAUUGCAAACUCUUCAGCGAAAAAACUUCAAGAUAUGGGCUUGUCUGGACUUCUUUUUUGUUCUACAGAUCACCUUUGCUUGGCCAAAUUACUGAAGACUAUUUUGCAGAUUUUGUGAUGAUUAAGUUCUAAUUUCCUUGAACACAGAUUCAAAAUCUGCAGCAAAAAGUGAACUUUGCUUGACUGAACUCUCGACUCUGACUCCUCUGAGGAAGGUGAAUGACUCCUUUGUAACAUGGACCCAUGUGUACUUCUGGCAUAUCAGCACUGUAACCAGGAAGCCCUUCUGGGUCAGGUUCAAUAUCUUUCUGACAGUGGAGAGUACAGCACCCUCUAGUGGCACCCAAGGACAGGACUGUGUGUCCAAACGGGAGCCAUACCAAGGGAUGCUGCCACCCAGCAUAUUGAGGAAACACAUGGCUCCUGGAGGGACUCUAAUUUCGUUGAUAUCAAUCUGUGUGGUUGGGAUGGACAGGUGUCACCCCCAUAGAGGAUUCUUCUGCUUUGUUGGUGCAUUGCUGUGGAGCUGAAUGAAAGAAGGUAAAUAUUGUGAUGGGCAGCCACGGCCAUUAUCUGGCUGGGACACCAAUGGAAUGGAAAGACGGGGGAGAGAGCAUCGAUGAGGCAAUACUUCUCUUGCAACUCUAGAAGGCAACCCUCCUGGGCGGCUGUGACACCACGGAUUCCCACAAGACACGCUGGGAGCUGGAAUUUGGUACAGCCGUGUUGGGUUCUGUGGGGGCCAUCAGGGGGAGUUACAGAGUCCUGCAGUGGACUUCCAUCACACCUCCAGGUAAUACUGAUGAGCCAACUGGAACACUCCCAGGACCUGAAUAAAAGGAGCUGCCUCGCUCCAUUCAGAGA
This is a long non-coding RNA of Polypterus senegalus (gray bichir), 1214 nucleotides long. RefSeq lists it as uncharacterized. The transcript has 4 exons. Lineage: Eukaryota; Metazoa; Chordata; Cladistia; Polypteriformes; Polypteridae. The record is from RefSeq and is a predicted model, not a curated record.